UACAGAGGUCUCAAGCGUUGUUCGGAUUCAUUGGGCGUAAAGGGCGCGUAGGCUGCGGGGUAAGUCGGGUGUGAAAUCUCAGAGCUCAACUCUGAAACUGCACUCGAUACUGCUUUGCUUGAGGACUGGAGAGGAGAGUGGAAUUCACGGUGUAGCAGUGAAAUGCGUAGAUAUCGUGAGGAAGACCAGUGGCGAAGGCGGAUCUCUGGACAGUUCCUGACGCUGAGGCGCGAAGGCGAGGGGAGCAAACAGG
This 253-nucleotide ribosomal RNA is filed under the name uncultured bacterium. RNAcentral describes it as "partial 16S ribosomal RNA". It matches the Rfam family "Bacterial small subunit ribosomal RNA", at positions 524 to 776 of the family's 1533-position model. The record is from RNAcentral.